GUUGUAAAUAAAUAUAAACUGUUUUAAUUGGUAUGUCAUCAAUAAACUGUUUGUCCUAUCAAACUGAUCACAGCAUGCAGCCAGUAUAUUUCCUGAUUAUUCAAUAUUGCAUUGCAAUUUCUCGGAAAAAUAAAAUGGCUAUCUUUAUCCAUCUAAUGUUUUUUUUAAAAGCCAAGCAGUGUACAUUUAAAAUGAACAAUUAUUUCAAAAUUUAAACUAACUACAUGUAUGUCUUCUGAGUCAAAGAAUAGAAAACUUAAUAAAAUUGAACAGUAUUUAAAAUUUAACAGUUACUUAUUUCCCAUGAUGCACACUAUCAUAUGGUAAACUGGUCUAGCUCUAGCACCUACACAAUCUAAAUAAAUCCCAACUUCACUGUACAUAUACAGAUUAAAGGCACCGAGGGUCCCAAAAUGGAAAAUAAAAACUGAUGGUGUGAAUAAUAUGUAACUUUAUAAUUACCACUCAAUCAUAGUGUAGUCAAUCAAAUAGUAAGGAGAAUACCAUCCAAAAUAUUAUGACGUUGAAAAGAAAUAAAAUAUAAUGCAAAUCAAAUACUUGGUGAAAUGAUUAUAUUUUUCAUAAGAGUUUUGAUAUUAGAUAAAGGUUUGACUGAACUCCAUCAUGAGUAUGGAAAACAAGUCAAUCAUCUCAAUGUAAAUGUCUCUUUGCCUUACACUUUACAGUUGCCUACUCUUACAGUGAAAUUUGGCAUAGGCAGAUCCAGGGGAAAAAAAAUUGGUUGAUUAAAUAGGGAAUCACUGAAGCGGGACUGAAUCAGGCCCCCCUUUGGUCAGUCAGCUUUCUAAGUUAUGAACAAUUUGAAGACGGGUGGUAAAUUGUAUCUGUAAAGUCACAAAUUUUAAUUUCAAAAGGAUAGUGUCAGCACCAAAAAUGGUCUUAAAUCCUUCUUAUAAAUGACAUACUAUCAUCUACAAACUAUAAAAAUAUUUCAACAAUUAAAUAAAUACAAUAAAAAUAAUUUGGCAGCUUCGUGCAUACUAACCAUUAUACACCACAUUUGGCUAUGAUAUAAAAAUAUUAACCACGACAGAAACACAUGUAUUUACCAUGUUUACAAAAACACAUGUAUUUACAAAAGAAGUGAUAUCAUACAACAUUAUUAUACACAUUUUGAUGGAUAAAAUACUGAUAAUGCUGGAUGGUAAGUAUACAAUAUUAUAGUCAUUUAAAAAUACUUUUACAAAAAUACAUAAGCCUGUUUGCA
Molecule: long non-coding RNA, 1228 nt
Filed under: Mytilus galloprovincialis (Mediterranean mussel)
Lineage: Eukaryota; Metazoa; Mollusca; Bivalvia; Mytilida; Mytilidae
Source: RNAcentral